This 337-nucleotide non-coding RNA is filed under the name Felis catus (domestic cat). RNAcentral describes it as "Eukaryotic small subunit ribosomal RNA". It matches the Rfam family "Eukaryotic small subunit ribosomal RNA", at positions 631 to 980 of the family's 1831-position model. The record is from Rfam by way of RNAcentral. Lineage: Eukaryota; Metazoa; Chordata; Mammalia; Carnivora; Felidae.
UAAUUAAAAUGGAACACUUUGAAGGCUCUGGAGAAUUACUAUGUAAAAAAGUACUGUGUGAAAAACUGUAGUAAAAAAUAAAUCUAUAGCUUACCUCAGGGAUCUAUGGUUGGCUCAACAUUUGGAAAUCAAUCCAUGUAAGUAGACUACAGCCACUCAGAUACCACAGCUUAAAGUCAUGGAAUAGGACCAUGGUUCCAUUUGUUAGUUUUUGGAACUGAGGCCAUGAUUAAAAGGGACAGUCAGGGGCAUUCGUAUUGCCCCUGGAGGUGAAAUUCUUGGACCAGUACAAGAUGGACCAGAGAAAACAUUUGCCAAGAUUGUUUUAAUUAAUCAC